RNAcentral lists this ribosomal RNA (427 nucleotides) under uncultured bacterium. RNAcentral's name for it is "partial 16S ribosomal RNA". It matches the Rfam family "Bacterial small subunit ribosomal RNA", at positions 355 to 774 of the family's 1533-position model. The record is from RNAcentral.
UGGGGAAUAUUGCACAAUGGGCGCAAGCCUGAUGCAGCCAUGCCGCGUGUAUGAAGAAGGCCUUCGGGUUGUAAAGUACUUUCAGCGGGGAGGAAGGUGUUGUGGUUAAUAACCACAGCAAUUGACGUUACCCGCAGAAGAAGCACCGGCUAACUCCGUGCCAGCAGCCGCGGUAAUACGGAGGGUGCAAGCGUUAAUCGGAACUACUGGGCGUAAAGCGCACGCAGGCGGUCUGUCAAGUCGGAUGUGAAAUCCCCGGGCUCAACCUGGGAACUGCAUCCGAAACUGGCAGGCUUGAGUCUUGUAGAGGGGGGUAGAAUUCCAGGUGUAGCGGUGAAAUGCGUAGAGAUCUGGAGGAAUACCGGUGGCGAAGGCGGCCCCCUGGACAAAGACUGACGCUCAGGUGCGAAAGCGUGGGGAGCAAACA